This 161-nucleotide unclassified non-coding RNA is filed under the name Sterigmatomyces elviae. Its description in RNAcentral is "ITS 1". Lineage: Eukaryota; Fungi; Basidiomycota; Agaricostilbomycetes; Agaricostilbales; Agaricostilbaceae. The record is from RNAcentral.
GUGAAUUCGGGAGUUCAGCUCUGAAAUAUGAGUCUGACCCCAUUCCUUUCCAAUUAACACUUGUGCAUUUUUCCUUCAGCGAUCCCUUAGAGGAAAGCUGGGAAAGCUCUUGUGAUUGUAAACACAGUCGAGGAUGUAAAUCCAAAUUGAAAAAGUUAUAA